AACGCACCUUGCGCCCUUUGGUAUUCCGAAGGGCACACCUGUUUGAGUGUCAUUAAUUCCUCAACCCUAUCAUUUUUUAAUUAAUUUGUUAGUGGUUGGAUGUUGAGCGUUGCUGGACUUUUGAGUUCAGCUCGCUUUAAAUUUAUGAGCAGGCUCUUAUAUUUUCGGACUGACUCAACGUGAUAAGAAAUUUCGUUGAGGACGCUUUAAUGCGGCCGAAUUGUAGGGAAAUGCCGCUACUAGUUCACUCUUAUAUUUUAGACCUCAAAUCAGGUGGGACUACCCGCUGAACUUAA
This 296-nucleotide unclassified non-coding RNA is filed under the name uncultured fungus. RNAcentral's name for it is "sequence contains ITS2". The stretch from base 1 to 52 matches the Rfam family "5.8S ribosomal RNA", at positions 103 to 154 of the family's 154-position model. Lineage: Eukaryota; Fungi. The record is from RNAcentral.